UCAAAUUAUAGUUUAAUAAAUAUUAGCAUUGGAAGCUAAAGUUUGGGUAAAGUUAAUCCCAUGUUUGAU
This 69-nucleotide transfer RNA is filed under the name Obscurella hidalgoi. RNAcentral describes it as "tRNA-Pro". The record is from RNAcentral. Lineage: Eukaryota; Metazoa; Mollusca; Gastropoda; Architaenioglossa; Cochlostomatidae.